Molecule: long non-coding RNA, 338 nt
Organism: Pseudophryne corroboree (corroboree frog)
Lineage: Eukaryota; Metazoa; Chordata; Amphibia; Anura; Myobatrachidae
Exons: 2
Source: RefSeq, a predicted model, not a curated record
GCUGCCCAGUUCCAGAUCAACAAUGUGAGACCCCCCUUCCUCGUGGAGACUGCACCACAGACAGCGAGUGUGGCGGCACCAAGAAAUGUUGUACCCCGUAUUGUACACUGACAUGCGUGGAGCCCCUGAAGCCUAAAGAAGGAAAUAAUUCCACUGUUACCAGUAGCAAAUAGGGUCCCAGAUGUCACAUGACCCUGCGGUCCCGGACGCUCUGUACCUGCAGAUUGGGGGCACCGGGCACAGAUUAUGGAUGAUAAAUGUACAUUGAGUCACAGUAACGGCUCAUUGUAUUGUGAGUGAUGUCCAAUGUAAAUGUAAUAAAAUGAGUUCCAUCAUCA